Molecule: ribosomal RNA, 430 nt
Filed under: uncultured bacterium
Lineage: Bacteria
Description: bacterial SSU rRNA
Rfam family: Bacterial small subunit ribosomal RNA
Source: RNAcentral
AACGCGAAGAACCUUACCUACCCUUGACAUGUACGGAAGCCUGCUGAGAGGUGGGCGUGCCCGAAAGGGAGCCGUAACACAGGUGCUGCAUGACUGUCGUCAGCUCGUGUCGUGAGAUGUUGGGUUAAGUCCCGCAACGAGCGCAACCCUUGUCACUAGUUGCUACGCAAGGGCACUCUAGUGAGACUGCCGGUGACAAACCGGAGGAAGGUGGGGAUGACGUCAAGUCCUCAUGGCCCUUAUGGGUAGGGCUUCACACGUCAUACAAUGGCGCAUACAGAGGGCUGCCAACCCGCGAGGGGGAGCCAAUCCCAGAAAGUGCGUCGUAGUCCGGAUUGCAGUCUGCAACCCGACUGCAUGAAGUCGGAAUCGCUAGUAAUCGCGGAUCAGCAAUGUCGCGGUGAAUACGUUCCCGGGUCUGUACACACCG